GACGAACGCUGGCGGCGUGCUUAACACAUGCAAGUCGAACGAGAGCGUAGAGAAAGCUUGCUUUUUCUACAAACUAGUGGCAAACGGGUGAGUAACGCGUAAACAACCUGCCCUACGGAUGGGGACAACAGCUGGAAACGCCUGCUAAUACCGAAUACGUUCCGAAAAUCGCAUGACUACCGGAAGAAAGGAUGGCCUCUAGUUAUAAGCUAUCGCCGGAGGAGGGGAUUGCGUCUGAUUAGCUAGUGGGAGGGGUCACGGCCCACCAAGGCGACGAUCAGUAGCCGGUCUGAGAGGCGGAACGGCCACAUUGGAACGGAGACACGGUCCAGACCCCUACGGGAGAGAGCAGUGGGGAAUCUUCCGCAAUGGGCGAAAGCCUGACGAAUGAACGCCGCGUGAGUGAAGACGGCCUUCGGGUUGUAAAGCUCUGUUAUACGGGACGAAUAAUCUUGUGGUUAAUACCCAUGGGAAGUGACGGUACCGGAAGAGAAAGCCACGGCUAACUACGUG
Molecule: ribosomal RNA, 513 nt
Filed under: uncultured bacterium
Lineage: Bacteria
Description: partial 16S ribosomal RNA
Rfam family: Bacterial small subunit ribosomal RNA
Source: RNAcentral